GGAUAUAUUGGAUAAGUGCCUGAAAAGCGAGCGCCGAAAAGCGACGCCGGAGGGAACCGAACCUUGAAAAUAUUAUAGUUUGAAAGCCAGUAUAAAACAAUAGCCUGCGUCAGAAAAGAAUCAACCAGGCUGAGGUUAAAAAACAGCAAAAGAGCUAAAAGCAAACAAACC
This 171-nucleotide unclassified non-coding RNA is filed under the name Pleurocapsa sp. HA4230. RNAcentral's name for it is "partial leader ribosomal RNA". RNAcentral also lists the same sequence under 2 other names. Lineage: Bacteria; Bacillati; Cyanobacteriota; Cyanophyceae; Pleurocapsales; Pleurocapsaceae. The record is from RNAcentral.